UAUUCAAUUGGUUGCAGUCGU
RNAcentral lists this non-coding RNA (21 nucleotides) under Caenorhabditis elegans. Lineage: Eukaryota; Metazoa; Nematoda; Chromadorea; Rhabditida; Rhabditidae. The record is from RNAcentral.